CGCGACGGAAUAUGCCCAGGGCAUGACGGGCAGCUCCUCGUCCUCGGCGUAGGGGUCCACGACGCCGCCAUCGGCCGCCGCCACCCCUUCCUGCGUCUCCGCGGCGGUGCCUACCGCGACGGCCUGCACCCGCCUCUGCUCCGCGGCGUGCACCCGCACCGUCGCGGCCCGCCUCCGCACCGACUCCCUGUAGGUCCUGCAUCCGUCGCAGCUCCCGCCCUUGCUUCCACCUACCGCCUUCCACUGCGGAGACAAAAAAAAACACGCAAACAAGCUCACCAUGGCAGCUCAGCUGGACAGGGCCUAAACCGCAAUUGCGCGGCCGAAAACGCCGAGGCGCGCGAGGCACCGGGUGUUGGCGGAAACGGUAAGGGGGUAUAGGCGCGGAACUGGGCGUACCGGGGAAGCCGGGGAAGCGGCGGAGGCGACGGCGGUGCGCGCGGACAGCAUGGUGGCGGCGAGUUCCGGGGGAGCGGGUAGCGUGGCAGCGGGCGUCCUCCUCCCUCUUCGGAGCGGAGUGG
RNAcentral lists this long non-coding RNA (521 nucleotides) under Setaria italica (foxtail millet). RNAcentral's name for it is "long non-coding RNA (SITA_LNC003585)". Lineage: Eukaryota; Viridiplantae; Streptophyta; Magnoliopsida; Poales; Poaceae. The record is from RNAcentral.